This 18-nucleotide unclassified non-coding RNA is filed under the name Mus musculus (house mouse). Its description in RNAcentral is "oocyte_clustered_small_RNA7868". The record is from RNAcentral. Lineage: Eukaryota; Metazoa; Chordata; Mammalia; Rodentia; Muridae.
AAUUCUUUACAAGCAUCA